GAUUCUGGCUCAGGAUGAACGCUAGCUACAGGCUUAACACAUGCAAGUCGAGGGGCAGCAUUGGAGUAGCAAUACUUCAGAUGGCGACCGGCGCACGGGUGAGUAACACGUAUCCAACCUGCCGCUUACUCGGGGAUAGCCUUUCGAAAGAAAGAUUAAUACCCGAUGGUAUAAAGAGUUCGCAUGUUCUCUUUAUUAAAGAAUUUCGGUAAGCGAUGGGGAUGCGUUCCAUUAGAUAGUUGGCGGGGUAACAGCCCACCAAGUCUACGAUGGAUAGGGGUUCUGAGAGGAAGGUCCCCCACAUUGGAACUGAGACACGGUCCAAACUCCUACGGGAGGCAGCAGUGAGGAAUAUUGGUCAAUGGACGAGAGUCUGAACCAGCCAAGUAGCGUGAAGGAUGACUGCCCUAUGGGUUGUAAACUUCUUUUAUAAGGGAAUAAAGUGAGGGACGUGUCCCUUUUUGUAUGUACCUUAUGAAUAAGGAUCGGCUAACUCCGUGCCAGCAGCAGC
RNAcentral lists this ribosomal RNA (511 nucleotides) under uncultured bacterium. RNAcentral's name for it is "bacterial SSU rRNA". It matches the Rfam family "Bacterial small subunit ribosomal RNA", at positions 15 to 518 of the family's 1533-position model. The record is from RNAcentral.